This 157-nucleotide ribosomal RNA is filed under the name uncultured Glomus. RNAcentral describes it as "5.8S ribosomal RNA". It matches the Rfam family "5.8S ribosomal RNA". From Rfam's summary of the family: 5.8S ribosomal RNA (5.8S rRNA) is a component of the large subunit of the eukaryotic ribosome. It is transcribed by RNA polymerase I as part of the 45S precursor that also contains 18S and 28S rRNA. Functionally, it is thought that 5.8S rRNA may be involved in ribosome translocation. The record is from RNAcentral. Lineage: Eukaryota; Fungi; Glomeromycota; Glomeromycetes; Glomerales; Glomeraceae.
UCACUUUCAACAACGGAUCUCUUGGCUCUCGCAUCGAUGAAGAACGUAGCGAAGUGCGAUAAGUAAUGUGAAUUGCAGAAUUCCGUGAAUCAUCGAAUCUUUGAACGCAAAUUGCACUUUCUGCGGAGAGGAGGCCUGAUGCCUGUUUGAGGGCAGU